Molecule: long non-coding RNA, 1708 nt
Filed under: Malus domestica (apple)
Lineage: Eukaryota; Viridiplantae; Streptophyta; Magnoliopsida; Rosales; Rosaceae
Description: long non-coding RNA (MDOM_LNC006051)
Source: RNAcentral
UUAUUUUGGAAAAAUUUUCAUUACUGUCGGUUAAAAUCGACAGAAACAUUUUUUUAAAUACAAACCAACAGAAAAUUUUAAUUACUAUCAGUUAUAACCGACAAAAAAAAUGACUGCAAAAAUUCUCCCAAAAUUUUGUUACAAUUAAAAAAAAUAAAAAAAUAAUGGUUUGGUUUAAUAAAUAAAUAAAUAAUAUGUAUUUAAAUAUAAUACAUUUUUAAAAAUUAAUAUAAAUAAUUGUUUGGUUUAAUACAUAAUAACCCAUGUAAUAUAUGCGAUAAAGAAACAAAAAGAUAAUUGUACAAUGAAAAUGCCAUCUCACACAAACUAAAUAUUGUCUAAUUAAUACUUGAAAAACAUAAAUAAAAAUUUAGCACAAAUUACUUUUCCUACUUCAAAACUAGUUUCAAUGAUCUAACCGUCAAACUUGUUUGUAGAUACUACAAGAUCACAUACGUAAAGAAUCGCAAAAAAAAAAAAAAAAAAAAAACAUUCAGAGAUUAGGUAACGGAACAAAAGUUUUCGACGGUUAUAAACGAAAAAUCACAAUUUAACGGUUAUUUUAGCUCCAGUUUUGAUGAUUUUUUUACAGCUACACUCCUCGACCUAUAAGAAUGCAAUGAAUGAAUUCGAUCUUCAAUUUAAAAUAUUUACACUAGUGGAUACCAAAAAAAUCUUAUUUUAUACUUAAUGGAAGUAUAAUAUUAACUCUAAGUGUUUGUUUAAUCUACCGUUUUGACUCAAUAUGCAUUCUACGAAACUUUUUUCAACGAUCCAACCGUCGAACUUAUUUGUACACACUCCGAUAUUGCAUACGUAAAAAAUCGUAAAAAACCAAGGUUCUAAAAAACACUAAGCGCUAGUCAGGCGGUGGGCUAGUGCCUAGCGCCUAAGCGCCUAGGCGGGUCUAGGCGGAUUUUGGUAAAUUUCUUAUAUAUUUUAUGAAUUAAUUAAAUUUACUAUAUCAAAUGUAAAUAAUUAUUGACUAAUAUGUUAUUUCUUAUUGAAGAACAUACACAUGUGAAUGUUUUAUGUACAUAUAUGAUAUGCUUGCCUAAGAAAAAAAAAUUAUCUAAAUAAUUUAUAAUUUAUAAUUUAUAUAAGAUUUACACACACACACACACACACAAUAUGUGACAACUCGUCCCAAAUCUUACGUUUUUUUACAAAAUUUAAAAGUGUGAUUUUACGAAAAUGCCUUAGAGGUGAGGGUCUUGACAUCCGUUGACCAACGUAUAGUGAGGUGUAUGAAUUAAUACUUUGCGUUUUCUUGAAGAACUCGACGUUACGGAAUUAUAAAACCGAGAAGUACUUUUGUUUAGUCACUAUUUAUAUAUUUUAUACAUUUUUAUAAUGAUAUAUUUUGUUUAUCAUUUAGUGAUUUUAAAAAUAGUUGAGGAAGAAAAAAGGGCAACGGGAGAGAGAACAGAGGGAAGGGCUGCUGCCCAAUUAGAGGAGAGGAGGAGAGAAGACUGCCUAAUUAGAAGCAGAAGCAAGGAGGGAAAGGAGGGAGAGUGGAAAGCGGGGGGAAAAGGGGGAAAUGGGUUCCCAACCCGUGACCCGUGUACACCUAGUCCAAUUCUCCAUAUUUUCUGGUGGUUUCCGCCGGAUUUCUCACGAAUUUGGACCAAGAAACAAUUCCCAAUCAUCCCCUAGUCCUUUCCUCUUCCAUUCCCAAUCAAAUUUUAUAGGAUUUGAGCUUGAAUUC